UCAGAAAAGAACAGGGAAGGGGCGAGAAAAGGAGCGUGGAAAGUUCCAGGCGGCCGCCAUUUUGGGCCAUGAGGGACGAGCGUGGAGAGAUUCCAAAGAUGCACAAGUUGGAGUGAGAGUAAGACUCCCCAUCCCAAUAUAUCAAGGAUGGAAGACUGUGAGUUGAAAUGAUCCAAAGCCACGUGGCCAGCUGGUGACCGGGGGAGCAGAUGCAGGGAGCUGGGUGCCUGUGGCGCUGACUUUCUUCCUCUUCUGAAGUUUUUCUUUUCAGGGAAACAUGAAAACCUUCUUGAUCUGCCGUGUUUCCACAAAGACCAGAGCUCACACCAGGAGUUUUAGGAUUUUGAGCACACCUGGCUCCAGCAAAAGCAAUCAGAGCUCAGCAGUGUCGGCAUUUGAAGAUUCCUGGAGCUGCAUCUUUCCUCAUGCACGGGUUCAAACUCCCACACUAAGUCAGAAUUAAUGACAAGGAUGGAAACGUGA
Molecule: long non-coding RNA, 483 nt
Organism: Nothoprocta perdicaria
Lineage: Eukaryota; Metazoa; Chordata; Aves; Tinamiformes; Tinamidae
Exons: 5
Source: RefSeq, a predicted model, not a curated record